RNAcentral lists this ribosomal RNA (251 nucleotides) under uncultured bacterium. RNAcentral's name for it is "partial 16S ribosomal RNA". It matches the Rfam family "Bacterial small subunit ribosomal RNA", at positions 107 to 354 of the family's 1533-position model. The record is from RNAcentral.
UGAGUAACGCGUAUGCGACCUGCCCGUUGCAGAGGGAUAAUCGGGAGAAAUCCCGUCUAAUACCGCGUAACGCCGCGGGGCUGCAUGGCCCUGCGGCCAAAGGGAGCGAUUCCGGCAACGGAUGGGCAUGCGUGACAUUAGCUAGUUGGCGGGGCAACGGCCCACCAAGGCGACGAUGUCUAGGGGUUCUGAGAGGAAGGUCCCCCACACUGGUACUGAGACACGGACCAGACUCCUACGGAAGGCAGCAG